This 482-nucleotide ribosomal RNA is filed under the name uncultured bacterium. RNAcentral describes it as "partial 16S ribosomal RNA". It matches the Rfam family "Bacterial small subunit ribosomal RNA", at positions 30 to 507 of the family's 1533-position model. The record is from RNAcentral.
AUUGAACGCUGGCGGCAUGCUUUACACAUGCAAGUCGAACGGUAACAGCACUUCGGUGGCUGACGAGUGGCGAACGGGUGAGUAAUACAUCGGAACGUGCCUAGUAGUGGGGGAUAACUACUCGAAAGAGUAGCUAAUACCGCAUGAGAUCUAAGGAUGAAAGCAGGGGACCUUCGGGCCUUGCGCUACUAGAGCGGCUGAUGGCAGAUUAGGUAGUUGGUGGGAUAAAAGCUUACCAAGCCGACGAUCUGUAGCUGGUCUGAGAGGACGACCAGCCACACUGGGACUGAGACACGGCCCAGACCCCUACGGGAGGCAGCAGUGGGGAAUUUUGGACAAUGGGCGCAAGCCUGAUCCAGCAAUGCCGCGUGCAGGAUGAAGGCCUUCGGGUUGUAAACUGCUUUUGUACGGAACGAAAAGCCCUCUUCUAAUACAGGAGGGUCAUGACGGUACCGUAAGAAUAAGCACCGGCUAACUACGUG